GAUGAAGAACGUAGCGAAAUGCGAUACGUAAUGUGAAUUGCAAAUUCAGUGAAUCAUCGAGUCUUUGAACGCACAUUGCGCCCCCUGGUAUUCCGGGGGGCAUGCCUGUCCGAGCGUCAUUGCUGCCCUCAAGCCCGGCUUGUGUGUUGGGCCCCGUCCCCCGAUCUCCGGGGGACGGGCCCGAAAGGCAGCGGCGGCACCGCGUCCGGUCCUCGAGCGUAUGGGGCUUUGUCACCCGCUCUGUAGGCCCGGCCGGCGCUUGCCGAUCAACCCAAAUUUUUAUCCAGGUUGACCUCGGAUCAGGUAGGGAUACCCGCUGAACUUAAGCAUAUCAAUAAGCGGAGGA
RNAcentral lists this unclassified non-coding RNA (346 nucleotides) under soil metagenome. RNAcentral describes it as "partial contains 5.8S ribosomal RNA, internal transcribed spacer 2, and large subunit ribosomal RNA". The stretch from base 1 to 119 matches the Rfam family "5.8S ribosomal RNA", at positions 35 to 154 of the family's 154-position model. The record is from RNAcentral.